This 486-nucleotide ribosomal RNA is filed under the name uncultured bacterium. Its description in RNAcentral is "bacterial SSU rRNA". It matches the Rfam family "Bacterial small subunit ribosomal RNA", at positions 30 to 514 of the family's 1533-position model. The record is from RNAcentral.
AUUGAACGCUGGCGGUAUGCUUAACACAUGCAAGUCGAACGGUAGCAGGCCUUCGGGCGCUGACGAGUGGCGGACGGGUGAGUAACGCGUAGGAAUCUGCCUCAUAGUGGGGGACAACGUGGGGAAACUCACGCUAAUACCGCAUACGCCCUACGGGGAAAGCGGGGGAUCUUCGGACCUCGCGCUAUGAGAUGAGCCUGCGUUAGAUCAGCUAGUUGGUAGGGUAAAGGCCUACCAAGGCGACGAUCUAUAGCUGGUCUGAGAGGACGAUCAGCCACACUGGGACUGAGACACGGCCCAGACUCCUACGGGAGGCAGCAGUGGGGAAUAUUGGACAAUGGGCGCAAGCCUGAUCCAGCAAUACCGCGUGUGUGAAGAAGGCCUUAGGGUUGUAAAGCACUUUCAAUUGGGAGGAAAACCUGUCGGUCAAUACCGGCAGCUUGACAUUACCUUUAGAAGAAGCACCGGCUAACUCCGUGCCAGCAG